GCGCCUGUAGCUCAGCCGGAUAGAGCAGCUGCCUUCUAAGCAGCCGGUCGGGGGUUCGAGUCCCUCCAGGCGCGCCA
This 77-nucleotide transfer RNA is filed under the name Streptosporangiaceae bacterium. RNAcentral's name for it is "tRNA-Arg". It matches the Rfam family "tRNA". From Rfam's summary of the family: Transfer RNA (tRNA) molecules are approximately 80 nucleotides in length. Their secondary structure includes four short double-helical elements and three loops (D, anti-codon, and T loops). Lineage: Bacteria; Bacillati; Actinomycetota; Actinomycetes; Streptosporangiales; Streptosporangiaceae. The record is from RNAcentral. RNAcentral also lists the same sequence under 2 other names.